UACGUAGGAGGCGAGCGUUGUCCGGAGUUACUGGGCGUAAAGCGCACGCAGGCGGUCCUAUUAGUCUGGGGUGACAGUUCCCGGCUUAACCGGAAAAGGACUCUGGAAACUGUAGGACUUGAGGGCGUCAGAGGGAUGUGGAAUUCCAGGUGGAGUGGUGAAAUGCGUAGAGAUCUGGAAGAACACCAAAGGCGAAGGCAGCAUCCUGGGAAGUUCCUGACGCUCGGGUGCGAAAGCCAGGGGAGCGAACGGG
RNAcentral lists this ribosomal RNA (253 nucleotides) under uncultured bacterium. Its description in RNAcentral is "partial 16S ribosomal RNA". It matches the Rfam family "Bacterial small subunit ribosomal RNA", at positions 524 to 776 of the family's 1533-position model. The record is from RNAcentral.